GGAAGGUGCUACAAAGAAUGCAACAAUAAUAUGUUCCAUUGAAUUACAUAGUCACUUGAAAUUCACCAGAUCGAAUGCGUCCGUGGCAUACUAAAAACAGGAGUGUCCAAUCGAGGUAUUAAGAAAAAUAUGCAAUUCUUAGAUCAAGUCAGAGUUCAUACACAAGUAAUCAUUAUCACAGUACAGAAUUGGUGGUACAAGAAUAGAGAGGCUGAUGGGAAGCCAACGGUCG
Pelobates cultripes (western spadefoot toad) is the source of this 232-nucleotide non-coding RNA. Lineage: Eukaryota; Metazoa; Chordata; Amphibia; Anura; Pelobatidae. The record is from the annotation of a GenBank genome assembly.